GACGAACGCUGGCGGCGUGCUUAACACAUGCAAGUCGAACGGAAAGGCCCUGCUUUUGUGGGGUGCGCGAGUGGCGAACGGGUGAGUAACACGUGAGUAACCUGCCCUUGACUUUGGGAUAACUUCAGGAAACUGGGGCUAAUACCGGAUAGGAGCUCCUGCUGCAUGGUGGGGGUUGGAAAGUUUCGGCGGUUGGGGAUGGACUCGCGGCUUAUCCGCUUGUUGGUGGGGUAGUGGCUUACCAAGGCUUUGAAGGGUAGCCGGCCUGAGAGGGUGACCGGCCACAUUGGGACUGAGAGACGGCCCAGACUCCUACGGGAGGCAGCAGUGGGGAAUAUUGCACAAUGGGCGGAAGCCUGAUGCAGCAACGCCGCGUGCGGGAUGACGGCCUUCGGGUUGUAAACCGCUUUCGCCUGUGACGAAGCGUGAGUGACGGUAAUGGGUAAAGAAGCACCGGCUAACUACGUG
This 468-nucleotide ribosomal RNA is filed under the name uncultured bacterium. RNAcentral describes it as "partial 16S ribosomal RNA". It matches the Rfam family "Bacterial small subunit ribosomal RNA", at positions 28 to 507 of the family's 1533-position model. The record is from RNAcentral.